AUUGAACGCUGGCGGCGUGCCUAACACAUGCAAGUCGAGCGGUAACAGGUGUAGCAAUACAUGCUGACGAGCGGCGGACGGGUGAGUAACGCUUGGGAAUCUGCCUGUUAGUGGGGGACAACCCGGGGAAACUCGGGCUAAUACCGCAUACGCACUACGGUGGAAAGCCGGGGACCGCAAGGCCUGGCGCUAACAGAUGAGCCCAAGUCGGAUUAGCUAGUUGGUAGGGUAACGGCCACCAAGGCGACGAUCCGUAACUGGUCUGAGAGGACGACCAGUCACACCGGAACUGAGACACGGUCCGGACUCCUACGGGAGGCAGCAGUGGGGAAUAUUGGACAAUGGGCGAAAGCCUGAUCCAGCGACGCCGCGUGGGUGAAGAAGGCCUGCGGGUUGUAAAGCCCUUUCAGUGGGAAGAAAAGCCUCGAGUUAAUACCUCGGGUCUUGACGUAACCAUAGAAGAAGCACCGGCUAACUCUGUGCCAGCCGCCGCGGUAAC
This 499-nucleotide ribosomal RNA is filed under the name uncultured bacterium. RNAcentral's name for it is "bacterial SSU rRNA". It matches the Rfam family "Bacterial small subunit ribosomal RNA", at positions 29 to 524 of the family's 1533-position model. The record is from RNAcentral.